Molecule: ribozyme, 65 nt
Filed under: unclassified sequences
Description: pistol ribozyme
Rfam family: Pistol ribozyme
Source: RNAcentral
ACUCGUCUGGGCGAGGAUAAAUAGUAAUUAGGCCCAGAGCGUCCCGGCGGCUGCCGGGGGUUUAG